UCGGGAAUUUUGGGCAAUGGGGGAAACCCUGACCCAGCAACGCCGCGUGAAGGAUGAAGUAUUUCGGUAUGUAAACUUCGAAAGAAUAGGAAGAAUAAAUGACGGUACUAUUUAUAAGGUCCGGCUAACUACGUGCCAGCAGCCGCGGUAAUACGUAGGGACCAAGCGUUGUUCGGAUUUACUGGGCGUAAAGGGCGCGUAGGCGGUGUGUCAAGUCAGUUGUGAAAUCUCCGAGCUUAACUCGGAACGGUCAAACUGAUACUGUCACACUAGAGUACAGAAGGGGCAAUCGGAAUUCUUGGUGUAGCGGUGAAAUGCGUAGAUAUCAAGAGGAACACCUGAGGCGAAGGCGGGUUGCUGGGCUGAUACUGACGCUGAGGCGCGAAAGCUAGGGUAGCAAACGGGAUUAGAUACCC
This 416-nucleotide ribosomal RNA is filed under the name uncultured bacterium. RNAcentral's name for it is "bacterial SSU rRNA". It matches the Rfam family "Bacterial small subunit ribosomal RNA", at positions 355 to 787 of the family's 1533-position model. The record is from RNAcentral.